Molecule: long non-coding RNA, 750 nt
Filed under: Pogona vitticeps (central bearded dragon)
Lineage: Eukaryota; Metazoa; Chordata; Lepidosauria; Squamata; Agamidae
Description: lncRNA (ENSPVIG00000023007.1)
Source: RNAcentral
AUGCCAGUGAGAGAGCCUGUUUGUGCACAGCUGCACAUACAUAAGGGAAUGGCGUGCAUGCCUGGAACCUGGCUUUCCCUUACUCUCCUCUUCUCCCGCCAGCUAUGCUUGUUUCUUCUCUUAUCUCCAGAAAUGGCCACCAGUGUGACAGACCAUGAAAAUGUAAGGAUCAUCACACAAGUCGUCCAACAAACAGAUCCGCAGGCUGUUGCUAGUGUGCUUGGGAAUACAUCCAUUGCAUCACAGCUCAAGCCAUCGCAGAGCCAAAGGCUGAAUACGCUGCCAAAGGCACUCGGGGUUGUGCAGAUUGUGUUGGGGGCUAUACAGAUAUGCUUUGGCAUUGCUCUGACAGAAGCACAAAAGAACUUUAAGAGCUUCACUGUGAAGAGUGCAGUCUACUUCUGGAUUGGGAUCUUGCUGUUGUUCUCUGGGUCCUUGUUGGUGGAAAUGGAGAAAAGAAAGCAUGCAUGGCUGGUGAAAGCCUCUUUCUUUGCUGGCUUGUUAGUCAGUGUGGCUGCAGUGAUUGCAGUCAUCCUCCAUGUUAUUGAGAUUUUACAAGAAAAGAGAAAAGGAAAUCCAUGUGAUAAGCAUCCUGACAAAGAUUGUGUUGCUAGUAGUCAGUUGAUAAUAUACAGUCUGAACUCAGUCUUCAUCAUCCUUUCACUCCUUGAACUGUCUGCAGCUGUCACUGCAUUGGUGACUGGAUUUAAAGACAGAAGACAGCAACCUUAUCAAGAGAUGUUAAUGUGA